Long non-coding RNA from Rosa rugosa (rugosa rose), 2389 nucleotides. RefSeq lists it as uncharacterized. The transcript has 2 exons. The record is from RefSeq and is a predicted model, not a curated record. Lineage: Eukaryota; Viridiplantae; Streptophyta; Magnoliopsida; Rosales; Rosaceae.
GACAACAAAGCAACUAACCUUUGAAGUCUUAAACUAAACACGUCCACAACAAGAGGAACGCACCCCACACGCGGAAAGAAACUAACCUACAACAAGAGGAACGCGCCCCACGCGCGGAAAGAAAAAGAACAGAGGAGUGAGAGUGCGAUCUCUCCCGGCCGAACGCCGCCGGCACUCCAGCCGCUGCGUUCCGGUCCGGGAGAGGACGGUGGUUCGGGCUAGCGGUGCGGUUCUAUGGCAGAGGUGUGGUCCAAGGAUGGUGACGGGUUGUUUGAUUUUGGGGUGGACAGAUCGAUUUCGAUAUGUUCUUUUCAGAUCGUGGGCGAGUGCAGAUGAGGAGCAGCGCCGGCUUGCGACCUGCCGGCAGUGGUUUUUGGCAUCACAGUUGCAACUAGGAUCUGGGCAAUGGCUGGGAUUUCGAUCUCAUGGUGGAGACGAGCCCGGAGAGGGUGUUUCUCAUUUUGGGAUCCGAUCUCGGAUGGCGGCUAGGUUUUGGGGUGGUCUGCUGUGUAGCGCGGCGGCGUGGUGGCGUAGGACUGCGACGCGGCGGCGUGGCUGUGCAAGGCAGGGGCGUGGUGACGGCAGAGCACGUUGGCACCGGGGUUGGUGGCCUGCUGAGCUGUGUCCUUUGGGGGAGUGGUAUUUGGACCAGGCCUUUGUUUUAGGGCCUUGCUGGUGGUUCUUGUUUUAUUAUCUGUUUUUUGCUUGUUUGGUUGUUCUUUUUUCUAUUGUUGCUUUGCCGGUAAUAAACUCCAACCGUGUUCCGGUUGGAGGCAGUGGCCUGUGUGUCAGUCUUUGCACCUUGUGUGCUUGUUUUGCUCUAGGUAGGCGGUGAGUUCCUUGCACUUGCAAAUGGUCGCUGCCUCUUAGUAACAGAGUGAAAUUAAGUGUCACUGGAUGUAAUGUCCAGUUGCAUAAUGAUGGGAAAGAUGUGCGUAUGGUAGUUAUGCUUUGCUAUAAUCGGGUUGUAGAUCAAGUAGGCCUGGCAUUUGAGCCCGUGACCCGCAAACCCGCCCGAAACCCGCACGGUAAAAGCCCGCACGAACCCGCCCAUUUAUUAAAUUCGUGCUUAGAAAGCCCGCACGCAAAAAGCCCGCAAAUUAACGGGCCUUGCGUGCUAAGCCCACUGGAACCCAUUGGAACCCGUUUACUUCCAAACAAACCCACUCCGACCCUUUCGACUCAGCAACUCUCUCUCUGUGGAACGCAACCCUGAAUCUGAGCAGUGAGCACAGCAGCCUCCCAUUCAUUUCCGUCACCCAAAUCCCAACUCUCUCUCUCUCUCAUCUCUCUCUGCGCGCCCAAUUUCUCAAGAUUUCUGGGUUUCUGAUCUAAUCAUGUCCAGUUUCAAAGCUUCUGCAAUUUGAAUUUUGUUGCUGCAUGUUUAGUUAAUUGAACACCCAUGCCAGUUGACAAAGAGAUGGAAUUUGAAUAUGGUUGUACUGUUGUAGCAUGUUUUUGUUGUUUAUAUGAAGAACUAGAAACUGAAGGAUCCAGAUGAGUUUAUGAGAUUGGUUGAAGUUUUUGUGCUGAGUUUCCUUGCCGUGAUGGAUGAUCUGCAUAGAGUGUGGUUUCUGCUUAUUUUUAGUUGUUCGCUACUUUAUUUUCUGUUCAGGGUACCGUAGAAGCAUGAAUUGUGCUAUAGAAGGUCAUAGGAAACGAGAAGGGAGAGGGAAUUCAUGAUUAUAUGUGGUGAAAUCGAAAUUGAUCGUGAGGUUAUUGCUGGAACUGAGAUAGUAACAUAAUGAGUCUGUUAUGACACACAAAUUCGUCAUGUAUUGUUUAAAGGGGGAAGUAAUUUUAAGAACUACAUGUGGUUGCUUUAGUGCUUAUUCACUGUACAGAAUGCAACAUAAUAGCUUCCUUUAGCAUGGUAUAUAUUUGGUUGAUGUGGAAUUUUAUGUUGAUUUAAUGGAUUUGGAAAAAAAAAAAAUUAUAUACAUAAGUCUUAAUUCUAGUUGCUUAAAAAAAAAAAAAAAAAAAUCUCUUAACGGGUUUUUAACGGGUUCCAACGGAAAACCCGCAAACCCGCCGGGUUUAGCCCGCGAAACCCGUUAACUUAACGGGUUUUUACCGGGUCGGUCCGUUAAAAACCCGGCCCGUUAAGAACCCGCACCGUACCCGCACUAUACCCGCACGUUGCCAGGCCUAAGAUCAAGUUAUAUUUCCGUUGUGUCAUCGCUGCGUUAAAGCAGUUAAAGCAAAUAGAGUCGCCAGUAGAGCACUCUUUGUUAGUUGGUGCUUUGUUGAGUACAAGCGUUUAGUAGAGACUCAUGAUAGUAUUUCAGGAGGUUCUACUUAUUGUAAUCAGGGGUUUAGGCUCAUUGUCCCCCCUUGUAUUCGACAGUUUCUUUAAUCAAGGCUAUCAAGGCUUGAGGGCUGCCACACC